This 143-nucleotide ribosomal RNA is filed under the name uncultured eukaryote. RNAcentral's name for it is "partial 18S ribosomal RNA". It matches the Rfam family "Eukaryotic small subunit ribosomal RNA", at positions 1299 to 1458 of the family's 1831-position model. The record is from RNAcentral.
UGGUGGAGUGAUUUGUCUGGUUAAUUCCGUUAACGAACGAGACCUCGACCUGCUAAAUAGUUUGGCGAAUUCCCUGUGGAUUCGUACAUAACUUCUUAGAGGGACUAUCGGUUCGCAGCCGGUGGAAGUUCGAGGCAAUAACA